RNAcentral lists this ribosomal RNA (494 nucleotides) under Oligodon maculatus. Its description in RNAcentral is "partial 12S ribosomal RNA". Lineage: Eukaryota; Metazoa; Chordata; Lepidosauria; Squamata; Colubridae. The record is from RNAcentral.
GCCCAGCCCUAACAAAACAAUAAAAUCCACCAUUGUCCGCCAAAUAACGACGAGUUAUAACUUAAAACUUAAAAGACUUGACGGUACCCCACAACAACCUAGAGGAGCCUGUCUAAUAAACGAUACCCCACGAUUAACCCCACCCACCUUAGCCUAACAGUCUAUAUACCGCCGUCGCCAGCCCACCUCAUGAGAGAACAAAAGUGAGCUAAAUAAUCAUCACAUUAACACGACAGGUCAAGGUGUAACUAAUAGGUAGGACCCAGAUGGGCUACAUUUUCUUAUACAGAGUAUACGAAUCAACCAUGAAAAAGUAACUGAAGGCGGAUUUAGCAGUAUAUUAGGAACAAAAAUACCUAAUUGAAACCAAAGCAAUGGGGUGCGCACACACCGCCCGUCAUCCCUGCAUCCAAACAAACUUAUCCAUAAUAACACAUCACUAAACCAGGGCAAGUCGUAACAUGGUAAGUGUACUGGAAAGUGCACUUAGAAAC